AAAAAAAAAAAAAAAAAUCAUUUUGGAAUUGUUGAUUUCAACUCACAUUCUUAUUCUAUCAACUAUGCAUAUAUCUUAUGCGGUCACUAGUGCACAGAGAAUUCAAGAUGAGCAAAAUCCUAAUAUGUUUUGCAAAUGUAAAAAAUCAAGAAAUUGUUUGAGAGCACCACAAUCAUGGAUCAAUAAGUUAUUUGUGGGUUCAAUCUAAAAGUCUUCUUUUUGAGAUUAUGUCAAAACUUGCAAAACUUUGCUCCAUUCUUCAUGACAUUGAAGCCACCACAAGUCAUUUAACUCAAGGGAUUUCUUUUGCUCAAGAGAUUGCAAAAUCUGGACCCAUCUUAAUUGAAGAAAUGACCAUGCAUUUGAAAUGGGUAGGUAACAUGUACACCAUAGUUUUACGGCGUGAAGCGAUGGUGAAAGAUCUUAAAAAAGAAAUCCAUCGGGCUCUAAAUGUACAACCCGAGGUUCAAAGAAUAAUGAAUUGGAAUGUACAAAAACACGCGCAACCCGCAAAUGAUAACACAAGCAUCCAAGACUGUGACUUUGCUAAAGAUAUAAGGCUUGUCAAAAUUGGACAAACUUAUGUUAGGGUUGUAAAAUUCCAUUUUGAUAUCAAAAAGAUAAUACGUGUUUCCCAGCAUUUGCAAAAAUCGCCAACUUACAAUAAAAAAAAAUUAACACAAAUUUAUUCUAACUUCAAAGCCAAACCUUGUUUAUAUCAUCCAAAAGAGAAAAAUGAUCAAAAUCAUGAAUGUCUUAACCCAUUUUAUAAUUCUCUGGAUCCCAACAUGGAAAUUUCACCACGAAAUUGAAUUAAAUAAAAUUAUUGUUUCAUGAAAAAAUGUUCAUCUGACAUGGAAAAGUUUGUUUUUGUUUUAGAUAUUUUUUCUGUUUUUCAAGCCAUUUUUUGACCGAUCGCUUCUAAACGUUUUGAAAUGCUUCACCAAAUAAUGCUGUACAACAUAAUGGUUACAAUAUUUGUGUGCAACAAGAAUGGAAGAAAUCAUGUACAAUACAGUUUUUUGACAAUUCAAUUUUUGGAUAAAUCCAGUUAAGACUGUACUAUCAAUUCUAGUACUAUACUUAAACAAGUUUUGCUUUGGUGUGAAUAUUUGCCAACAAUCCAUAACAGAAGUUGCAAUGAACGGUGUAACAGUGGCAACGAAGUUGAGUUCUACACAGAGUUGGACAUUUUUGCUCAUGAAAUGAGUUAAAAGAAUUCACGACUUAUUAUUCACAAUGAGAAGAUUUAUUUUAACAAAUAUCUCUCUGUAAUUCAACAUGUACAUAAUUAUUGCUUAGAUAACAACAAAGUUAAGUUGGGGAGUUUCUCACUGAACAAGGAUUUUACAGCGAACUCAAAAUGCAAUUCUAAGACCAUUAAUGUAGAAAAAAAAUCUCUCCCACU
Molecule: non-coding RNA, 1408 nt
Organism: Physcomitrium patens
Lineage: Eukaryota; Viridiplantae; Streptophyta; Bryopsida; Funariales; Funariaceae
Source: RefSeq, a predicted model, not a curated record